This is a long non-coding RNA of Chinchilla lanigera (long-tailed chinchilla), 2431 nucleotides long. Lineage: Eukaryota; Metazoa; Chordata; Mammalia; Rodentia; Chinchillidae. The record is from Ensembl.
AUGACAGAAGAGGAAACUGAGGCCCGGAGAGCUUUGCUUACAGGCUUACAGGAGGAAGCUUUCACUUCCUGUAUGAAACCACCAUCAAGAGUGUUUCAGCCAGGGGCUGCCCCGGUCCUGCAGCAGCAAGGAUGUGACCGCUGGAGCUCUGCAUAUGGUGAUUCUCUCAGCCAGCACCCCGCAGGCUGGGGACGCAAAUCCUGCUACAGCCCAUCCCGUGUUCACCCCAGUUUUCCACAGCCUUUUCCAAGAUGGGAAGCCGCAGUGCUCAGGCCUGGCAAGUACACUGUGCAGAUGUGUUCUGGGAGUGGAGCAGGCAGCCCUCCCAGAAGAGGAGCAAGGAGCCAGAGAGCUGAAAGCGGCAUCACCCUCACAGCCAGAAAGAAAGUCAGACACCUUCUAAGUGCGCAGUUUUCCCUGAACCCAUCAGAGACCUGGGGUCACAGGUCUCCAGCCACCUAGAAAUCCAGAGGGAGAUAGACUGGUGCAGGAGACAAGGCUGAGCAUGUGCUGCCUGCCUUGCGCCAGCAGGUGCCAUGGGAGCUGGUAAAAAGGCUCAGCUAAUGCCUCAGCAAGCUCACAGAUAGGGUAGCAGAAUGUGACCCACCUGGGAGGCUGAGACAGGAGGAUUGCAAGUUCAAGCCCAACCCAGGCAAUUUAGUGCCUUAGCAAGACCCUAUCUCAAAAUAUAAAAUACAAAAGGGGCUGAGGAUAUAUCUCAGUGCAAAGGCCCUGGGCUUAGUCCCCAGUACCAGAAAAAGAGAAAAGAGAAGGAAGACAGGAAGAGGAAAAAAAGGAGAAGAAGGUGGAAGGUGACCAGGGGGUGGAUUGCUGGGGCAUUAGCAGAUUCUUGUGGGCUUGUCUUCCAGGAGCCCUGAAGGUCACCAGAUCAGGGAACAUCCUGAGACAGCCUCAGUCAUAUUGCUGGACAGGGAGGGAUCCCAGCAGGGACCUUCACAGAAAGAGCAUGCAGUGGGGACUCAUGAGCUGGGGGUGAGCAGGUCCAGCAUAGAGCAGCCCCAAGACAGUAGUCCUCAGGCCAACACCCAUUGCUGGUUUCCCUGGGCUAUGGAACCAGAGGCUGACAGAACAUCCUGGAACAUCAGCAUGAUCCUCCAUAUCCACUUUCAACAACAGCAGAAAAAAAGGGGGGGCACAAGGAAAGGCCAGCAGAGCUCACUCGGAGACAGCGAACAUCUGGACCAGCACCCGAACAAACCAGGCAGACUUUGGAGUCGCCAGAUGGGGAUAUGAAGACUCCAGUCUAUAUGUGAGAGGGAGGCUCCGCUGGAGAAGAGCAGGCACAGGAACAGAGGGUGACUCCUGGAAACUGUAAGACAGAAGCAAAUAGAAGUACAGAAAGGACAACAAACCCAGACCGUCGCUGAAGAAUGCCCUCUGCACACCCGUUAGAAACAGCGCCCAACCCGGGAAAGAGUUGCCACCAACAGCAAUUGGCCAGUUGGAAAUGGGAAGAGAAAUGUAGUUUAAAGCCCAAUCCAUCGGAGAGCUGUGGGACAAUGUCAAGCAUCUUAAGACGCCAGGGUGACUGUGCUUUCCUCCAUCUUCUGCUCUAUCACUGGUCCUUCCCAUCGGUAGGGGCCAAGUGGUUUUGACAAAAUACCAGGCACAUAACUGAUAUAAAUCUGAUGACCAAAACAAAACCUCCAGGAUACGGGAGCCUUAUCAAGAACACACUCACUCUGCCAUGCAUCACACUACGCUUUAAUGGCCUUCAUCUUUAGAAUCCAUCUUCUGCUGCUAAACGAAAGAUUAUCAAGAUGGGAAACAGAAGUGGAUGUGUCUACUUCUCACUGACGCACACUUACUCCUCUAGUUUCCCUGAUCAUUCUGAGCUACACGAGAAAAAAGGAGAGAGAAAGCAACGAAAGUGGCUUCUCCACCAGGAUUUUCAGGGUAAAUUAAAUAAAAUUUAGAAGGUCUCUUAUCAAGCGUGGAACAGCCAUUCUAUUUUUCUUGCUCCAUCAAAAGAAAGGAAUAUCUACAUGUGGCCAAGGCAUUGACCCCUUCUAAUGAGGAUGUGGAAUUCUGGACACCAUUCAAGCCAAGUUCAAAUUUAAAUAACUUCACCAAAAUAAGGAAAUUUCUCAUGAGAAACCAAAGCAAAAGCACUAAAAUACAAUCACACCACUGUAAAUUUUAGUGUGGAGACUACUUCUCCAGAUGGCCAGGGCUCCCUGGGACAGUGUCUUGGCUCCAGAGGUGGAUUUGCUGUCCCUACGAACUUGAAAAUGGUUCUUCUUCAAUGAAAGUUAAACUUCCCAUUUUCAACAUUGGCCAUUAAUUAUUUUUCCCAAGGAAUUUCUGGAUUUUUUCAUAAUAAAAUCAAGAUUCCACGAAAAUACACCCUGAAUGUUUUUAAAGGCUUGAUUUAAAAAGUAAUUUUUCUCUUUGUUUUUUUAAAAAAUAA